Molecule: long non-coding RNA, 1169 nt
Filed under: Homo sapiens (human)
Lineage: Eukaryota; Metazoa; Chordata; Mammalia; Primates; Hominidae
Description: HSALNT0223438
Source: RNAcentral
AAAAGGGCAUGCAACUGGAAAUAAAGAAGAUGCUGACAGAAAGAAUGGCCAAGGGUAGAUUUUUCAAGGGUCUGACUAAGGAGUUUAGAGAUUUAUUCAGUAGGCUUUGAGAGCCAAGGUUUUUAAACAGGUAGCUUCUUCAUAAAGAUUAAUCUGGUUGUGGAAGUGCAGGUGCAUUAGACUGGGGAGAAAUAAGAGCUUGAGAUGUUACUUAGAAAAGGCCUCUUUUGUUGGAAAAGGCCAUAAAAGAGGUAGUGAACCAGAGAGUGGGAAUAGGAAGAGGGACAGAGACAAGACUCCUGGGAGAAAGUUCAUUGUAAAAUUGGCUUUGGGAAUCAUGGAAGAGAGAGGAAUCAAAAAUGGUUUCGAGAGCUUCAGAAUCUUUUGUGGCAGCCUGAACACAAAAACACAGAACCCACCAUCCUCCACCGAGUCCCAGCUCUGACCCUGAGAGCAUCAUGCCUAGUCACUUUCCUGAUUGUUUUUAUCCUCUUCUUGUCCCCAGGAAACACUCCACCACCACCCCAUCCCUGAGCCACAAAAAAGCUUGAUACCCGGUGAUGCUGGCCCAAACUCAGCCCCCAUGGGUUAGGCGUGACCACUGCUGUAGAAACUGGAGGCAUACUUUGCUUUGACUGCUGCUGACAGGCUCACCUUCCACCAUGACGGUAAGCUGACUGGUCACUGCCUCCCUCAUUAACUCUUUCUACUUCAUACGAUUAAAUAUCUUUGCCUGGGGCUGCUCAAAAUAAGCCUGUUCCUUCCGUUCCUGCUUAACAUGAUUUGGGAAGAAAAAGGUGGGUCUAAAUUCUCCCUAAAACCCAGGAGUUCCUGCCGGCUUUUUCUUGUAGAAAUACAAGGAGUUCUGCUACCCGCAUAAGAAGCUUCUAAGACAAUACUAAAAGAGAGGAAUUCAAAAUGUUCAUCUUUGGAGGAGGGAAAGCAAUGUUCCCAAAAAUGAAGAAACCUGAAUUCUAACCUGGCUCUGACACUCCUGCUCUGCAGCUUCUGAGAAGUCAUUUGCCUCUGGAGGCUUCAGUGUUCCCUUUUGUAAAAUGGGAGCAAUUGAAUAAGAGUGUCCCUUAACUUUUCCAGACUUAACAUUAAAAGACCGAAUGUGAUCACUAAGAAGGACUAGAUUAUUUUAAGAAUCUUAGUGUAUAGUGUCA